UACGGAAGGGGCGAGCGUUGUUCGGAAUCAUUGGGCGUAAAGGGCGCGUAGGUGGUUCUGUAUGUCUACCGUGAAAGCGUACGGCUCAACCGUAUUUUGUCGGUAGAAACUGCAGGACUUGAGGCUGGGAGGGGCUGGUGGAAUUCCCUGUGUAGCGGUGAAAUGCGUAGAGAUAGGGGAGAACACUCGUGGCGAAGGCGGCCAGCUAGACCAGUUCUGACACUGAGGCGCGACAGCGUGGGGAGCAAACAGG
Molecule: ribosomal RNA, 253 nt
Filed under: uncultured bacterium
Lineage: Bacteria
Description: partial 16S ribosomal RNA
Rfam family: Bacterial small subunit ribosomal RNA
Source: RNAcentral